This 980-nucleotide ribosomal RNA is filed under the name uncultured bacterium. RNAcentral describes it as "bacterial SSU rRNA". It matches the Rfam family "Bacterial small subunit ribosomal RNA", at positions 380 to 1378 of the family's 1533-position model. The record is from RNAcentral.
AGCUUGAUGCAGCACGCGCGUGCGGGAUGACGGCUUCGGGUUGUAAACCGCUUCAGUUCCGACGAAGCGCAAGUGACGGUAGAACAGAAGAAGGACCGGCCAACUACGUGCCAGCAGCCGCGGUGAUACGUAGGGUCCGAGCGUGUCCGGAAUUAUUGGGCGUAAAGGGCUUGUAGGCGGUCUGUCACGUCGGAAGUGAAAACUCAGGGCUUAACCCUGAGCCGGCUUCCGAUACGGGCAGACUAGAGGAAUGCAGGGGAGAAUGGAAUUCCUGGUGGAGCGGUGGAAUGCGCAGAUAUCAGGAGGAACACCGGUGGCGAAGGCGGUUCUCUGGGCAUUUCCUGACGCUGAGAAGCGAAAGCGUGGGGAGCAAACAGGCUUAGAUACCCUGGUAGUCCACGCCGUAAACGGUGGGCACUAGGUGUGGGGAACAUUCCACGUUCUCCGUGCCGAAGCUAACGCAUUAAGUGCCCCGCCUGGGGAGUACGGCCGCAAGGCUAAAACUCAAAGGAAUUGACGGGGACCCGCACAAGCAGCGGAGCAUGUGGUUCAAUUCGACGCAACGCGAAGAACCUUACCUGGGCUUGACAUGUAGGUGACAGCCGUGGAAACACGGUCUCCCUUCGGGGCACCUUCACAGGUGGUGCAUGGCUGUCGUCAGCUCGUGCCGUGAGGUGUUGGGUUAAGUCCCGCAACGAGCGCAACCCCCGUCCCAUGUUGCCAGCGGAAUGCCGGGGACUCAUGGGAGACUGCCGGUGACAAACCGGAGGAAGGUGGGGAUGACGUCAAGUCAUCAUGCCCCUUAUGUCCAGGGCUACACACGUGCUACAUUGGCCAGUACAGAGGGUUGCGAUGCCGCGAGGUGGAGCCAAUCCCAAAAAGCUGGUCUCGGUUCGGAUUGGAGGCUGAAACUCGCCUCCAUGAAGGUGGAGUUGCUAGUAAUCGCGGAUCAGCAAUGCCGCGGUGAAUACGUUCCCGGG